Nothoprocta perdicaria is the source of this 304-nucleotide long non-coding RNA. RefSeq lists it as uncharacterized. The transcript has 2 exons. The record is from RefSeq and is a predicted model, not a curated record. Lineage: Eukaryota; Metazoa; Chordata; Aves; Tinamiformes; Tinamidae.
CUCUUUAAGAGUGAUUUGAUGUUUCUUUAAGCAACACCCUGUCUCUAUGAAGAAGUGCCAACAGGGGAGAAGUUUCAAGCUUGCUAUUUUUAUUUAAGCUGCUGGAACAGUAUGGACAUAAUGCGUUACUGGUCGGCUGUGUUUGCUUCCCACACCAGCAAUAACAUGUUCUGAAUGAGUGUAGGAAGACUCCGACCACCAUUCUGCCAGAGCUGACUUGAUCCUGAGCUGGAGGCUGCUGAGUCUAAAUAAAUCACUCUGGAAUAACUUGAUGUGCAKUUCUGAGGCACGUGGCAUCAUCGGG